RNAcentral lists this ribosomal RNA (253 nucleotides) under uncultured bacterium. Its description in RNAcentral is "partial 16S ribosomal RNA". It matches the Rfam family "Bacterial small subunit ribosomal RNA", at positions 524 to 776 of the family's 1533-position model. RNAcentral also lists the same sequence under 1 other name. The record is from RNAcentral.
UACGGGGGGGGCAAGCGUUGUUCGGAAUUACUGGGCGUAAAGGGUUCGUAGGUGGCCGACUAAGUCAGACGUGAAAUCCCUCAGCUUAACUGGGGAACUGCGUCUGAUACUGAUUGGCUUGAGGACAGGAGAGGAACGCGGAAUUCCAGGUGUAGCGGUGAAAUGCGUAGAUAUCUGGAGGAACACCGGUGGCGAAGGCGGCGUUCUGGACUGUUUCUGACACUGAGGAACGAAAGCCAGGGGAGCAAACGGG